CUAGCGUUUUUGAAGUAUUUAGAAAAUAAAUUUUGCGAUUUUUCGAUAUUAUUCACCUACCUAUCAAAAGGAUUCAAAAUCAGUAAUUUUUAAUGGUUGAUAUAUAUCAUUUGCAAGUUUAACGGUGCAGAAAUAUUCAAGUCAGAUAAAAUUUUGAUAGAAAAUUCUUUAUACUAUUUACUGUAAGAUCAAUAUCUCCGAUUGAAUAUUUUAGUGCUAUAUCACCACUUUUUGUGAGAUUUUUAUUUUCAGCUGAUUUUGAACCCUUUCGAUCGUUAUGUAAAUUAUAUCGAAAAAUCGUAAAAUUUAUUUUCUAGAUACUUCAAAUACACUAGAUCAAGUCUAACGGAGCCGAUCAUUGAUUCGAAAGCUCUAUCAUCGAAAACGUCUUAGGAGCACGAAGGCCUCCGUGCUCCUAAUAGCACAUAAGACCUACAAUAUAGAGAGAGAAAGAGAGAGAGUUGAGCUAGAAACUCCCAAAAGCACCAAGGGUAGAUGCUUUUGGGUUUGUAGCCCUUGGAUGGAGUGAUGUAAGGGUAGGAUAAUGGUGGCAGGUGGUGAUAGGUGAAAUAGUGUUUGAUCCAUAGGCUAUUAGUAGUCAAAAGGGAGAUCUAAGAGUUAGAGUUGGUGCUUCUAGGUGUAUUCUAGCUCAAUUAUAUAUAUACAUAUAUAUAUAUAGAGCAGGGCUGCUGUUCUCUCAGGAGCACGGAGACCUCCAUGCUCCUGAGUCGUUUUCGAUGAUGGAAUUUUCAAAUUAACGAUCGGCUCCGUUAGACUUGAUCUAGGGUAUUUAAAGUUUCUAGAAAGUAAUUUUUGCGAUUUUUCGAUAUCAUUUACCCAGUGAUCGAAAGGAUUCAAAAUCCAUAAUUUUUAAUGGUUGAUAUCUGUCGUUUUCAAGUUUAACGGUAUAGAAGUAUUCAAAUCAGAUGAAAUUUUGAUACAAAAUUCUUUAUACUGUCUACAACAAGAUCAAUAGUUUUGAUCGAAAAUUUUAGUACUAUAUUGCCACUUUUUAUAGGAUUUUUAUUUUCAGCCGUUAAAAAUGAUUGAUUUUGAAUCCAUUCGAUUGCUAAGUAAAUGAUAUCAAAAAAUCGUAAAAUUUAUUUUCUAGAUACUUCAAAUACGCUAGAUCAAGUCUAACGGAGCCGAUCGUCAAUUCGAAAAUUCUAACAUCGAAAACGGCUUAGGAGCACGGAGGCCUUCGUGCUCCUGAGCCGUUUUCGAUGAUAGAAUUUUCGAAUUGAUGAUCGGCUCCAUUAGACUUGAUCUAGGGUAUUUGAAGUUGCUAGAAAAUAAUUUUUGCGAUUUUUCGAUAUCAUUUACCCAGUGAUCGAAAGGAUUCAAAAUCCAUAAUUUUUAAUGGUUGAUAUCUGUCGUUUUCAAGUUUAACGGUAUAGAAGUAUUCAAAUCAGAUGAAAUUUUGAUACAAAAUUCUUUAUACUGUCUACAACAAGAUCAAUAGUUUUGAUCGAAAAUUUUAGUACUAUAUUGCCACUUUUUAUAGGAUUUUUAUUUUCAGCCGUUAAAAAUGAUUGAUUUUGAAUCCAUUCGAUUGCUAAGUAAAUGAUAUCAAAAAAUCGUAAAAUUUAUUUUCUAGAUACUUCAAAUACGCUAGAUCAAGUCUAACGGAGCCGAUCGUCAAUUCGAAAAUUCUAUCAUCGAAAACGGCUCAAGAGCACGGAGGCCGUGCUCCUGAGCCAUUUUCGAUGAUGGAAUUUUCAAAUUAACGAUCGGCUCCCUUAGGCUUGAUCUAGGGUAUUUAAAGUUUCUAGAAAAUAAUUUUUGCGAUUUUUUAAUAUCAUUUACCUAGUGAUCGAAAGGAUUCAAAAUCCAUAAUUUUUAAUGGUUGAUAUCUGUCGUUUUCAAGUUUAACGGUAUAGAAGUAUUCAAAUCAGAUGAAAUUUUGAUACAAAAUUCUUUAUACUAUCUACAACAAGAUCAAUAUUUCUGAUCGAAAAUUUUAGUAUUAUAUCACCACUUUUUAUAGGAUUUUUAUUUUCAACCAUUAAAAAUUAUUAAUUUUGAUUCCUUUCUAUUGCUAGGUAAAUGAUAUCGAAAAAUCGCAAAAAUUAUUUUCUAGAAACUUCAAAUACGCUAGAUCAAGUCUAACGGAGCCGAUCGUCGAUUCGAAAAUUCUAUAAUCGAAAA
This 2148-nucleotide long non-coding RNA is filed under the name Ananas comosus (pineapple). Its description in RNAcentral is "long non-coding RNA (ACOM_LNC003159)". Lineage: Eukaryota; Viridiplantae; Streptophyta; Magnoliopsida; Poales; Bromeliaceae. The record is from RNAcentral.